CAAAACUCAAAAAAUAGAUCUCAGUUCGGACUGUAGGCUGCAACUCGCCUACACGAAGUUGGAAUUGCUAGUAAUCGUGGAUCAGCAUGCCACGGUGAAUACGUUCCCGGGUCUUGUACACACCGCCCGUCACACCAUGGGAGCUGGUAACACCCGAAGUCAGUAGUCUAACCGCAAGGAGGACGCUGCCGAAGGUGGGAUUAGCGACUGGGGUGAAGUCGUAACAAGGUAGC
Molecule: ribosomal RNA, 233 nt
Filed under: uncultured bacterium
Lineage: Bacteria
Description: partial 16S ribosomal RNA
Rfam family: Bacterial small subunit ribosomal RNA
Source: RNAcentral